UGGCUCUCGCAUCGAUGAAGAACGCAGCGAAAUGCGAUAAGUAAUGUGAAUUGCAGAAUUCAGUGAAUCAUCGAAUCUUUGAACGCAACUUGCGCCCUCUGGUAUUCCGGAGGGCAUGCCCGUUUGAGUGUCAUGUAGACUCAUCUAAUCAGAUUUUCUGAUCAAGAUGGAUUUGGAGGUUUUUGCCUAUCUUGGCUCCUCUUAAAAGCAUUGUGCAGACGUAAUAAGUUUCGUCGUACGCGCAUUCGCCCGCAAGGGCAACUACUUGUACUCUGACCUCAAAUCAGGUAGGGCUACCCGCUGA
This 304-nucleotide unclassified non-coding RNA is filed under the name uncultured fungus. Its description in RNAcentral is "partial contains 5.8S ribosomal RNA and internal transcribed spacer 2". The stretch from base 1 to 133 matches the Rfam family "5.8S ribosomal RNA", at positions 22 to 154 of the family's 154-position model. The record is from RNAcentral. Lineage: Eukaryota; Fungi.